GGCGGAGUAGCUCAGUCGGUCAGAGCGAACGGCUCAUAAUCGUUAGGUCGUGGGUUCGAGUCCCACCUCCGCUACCG
This 77-nucleotide transfer RNA is filed under the name Chthonomonadia bacterium. RNAcentral's name for it is "Chthonomonadetes bacterium (hot springs metagenome) tRNA-Met". It matches the Rfam family "tRNA". Rfam says of the family: Transfer RNA (tRNA) molecules are approximately 80 nucleotides in length. Lineage: Bacteria; Bacillati; Armatimonadota; Chthonomonadia. The record is from RNAcentral.